GACGAACGCUGGCGGCGUGCUUAACACAUGCAAGUCGAACGGAAAGGCCCUGCUUUUGUGGGGUGCUCGAGUGGCGAACGGGUGAGUAACACGUGAGUAACCUGCCCUUGACUUUGGGAUAACUUCAGGAAACUGGGGCUAAUACCGGAUAGGAGCUCCUGCUGCAUGGUGGGGGUUGGAAAGUUUCGGCGGUUGGGGAUGGACUCGCAGCUUAUCAGCUUGUUGGUGGGGUAGUGGCUUACCAAGGCUUUGACGGGUAGCCGGCCUGAGAGGGUGACCGGCCACAUUGGGACUGAGAUACGGCCCAGACUCCUACGGGAGGCAGCAGUGGGGAAUAUUGCACAAUGGGCGGAAGCCUGAUGCAGCAACGCCGCGUGCGGGAUGACGGCCUUCGGGUUGUAAACCGCUUUCGCCUGUGACGAGGCGUGAGUGACGGUAAUGGGUAAAGAAGCACCGGCUAACUACGUG
This 468-nucleotide ribosomal RNA is filed under the name uncultured bacterium. RNAcentral describes it as "partial 16S ribosomal RNA". It matches the Rfam family "Bacterial small subunit ribosomal RNA", at positions 28 to 507 of the family's 1533-position model. The record is from RNAcentral.